Long non-coding RNA from Sander lucioperca (pikeperch), 2721 nucleotides. Lineage: Eukaryota; Metazoa; Chordata; Actinopteri; Perciformes; Percidae. The record is from Ensembl.
UUUAAAACUUUUUAAGGAUCAUUUUGUCAACAACUGUUUGUCCUAUAAUGUUUUUUUUUGUUUUUUUCAUAGAGCCACGCUCUGUUGAAACCUGGACGACGGAGACGCCGCUGCAUCCCAAAAUCCUCCAGACUCCAGGUCCAAACGAUGAGACGGCUGUUACAGGUGGCCGUCUCUUCCUGAGCGUACCGGUCCUCGGUGUGUUUGGCUGUGUCUUACUGAUCCUGGGUUUUGGAGUCAGCGUAUAUUCACUCAAACUAAGGGGUCAACACCGAACUGUAAGUCAGGACGACUUGGACGUUUAAGAGAAAGCACCAGCACUACCUUCACUACUUGGUCUGGGCCAACGUUCAGUCGGGAGAGGACGGCUGCGGUAUUUCACCGGACCUUUAACUGGACCUUUAACUGGACCUUUAACUGGACCUUUAACCGGACCUUUAACCGACCCACGAUAGAAGACCAAAGACAACGAGUUUGUCUCUGUAUCGUAGGGCUCUCCUCACGAUUCACAAACUGGCUUUUUGUGGUUCUGUUGUUGUAACGACGCUGUGUGACCAGAGGUCCGCACUACCGAGCAAGAUUUGGCGUCAACGAGGGGACUCCAGGGUUUGGGGGAUCUAUUGACAUUAUAUCGCAUUUAACCGAUCCGGCAUAUCAACAUCCUGUGCAACUUUUCUCCACGCAGCAGUCGUAGGAAUCAGAACGUUGUAGGACCCAAAUGCAGAGACAGCAGGAAAAAGUAGUAAGCUCGAGGAUUUAAUAUUAAACACAAGAUAUACAACCCAGGAGUCCUCAAGACAGCAGGCAAGGAAAUCCAAAACGUGGUAGCAGUCAAAAAAAAACGAGUCGCAGCAACAUAUACACAAUCAUAACAGCAGCAGCCUGUUUAUAUUUACUCGGAUGGAUGGAUGGAUGGAUGGGAGGAGGUCAUAGAGAAUUUUUAUUACGGAGCUGAUUUCAAGUGCUAGUGUGAAGGCGGCGUCACGGAGAGUCCACGUAUCUGAACUGGAUUACUGCGGUUUAGUCACGAUGUCAAUCUUGGAAGAUUUAAAAUUAGAUUUCACACAAACGGAACCUCAAAGUAACGCUAAUAACCUCCGACACGGACAUAUUUCUCUUUACAAUGGAAGACUUGAGAUGAUAAAGGCACCACGGUGCUUCAUUGUUAUUUAUUUUUUUACCUCCGUUCUUAAGAUCUCAUCAAACUUUAUUUAUUAUCUGUUUACAAAAUGACUCCAAACACUGACAACGAGGAAGAAGAUGUUGGGCAGAUAUUUAAAACGUACGAAUUGACCCCAAGUCUUCAACGCACUGUGUAUUUACUGCAUGCAAAGUAAUACGUACACUAACAAUAGAUAUGUUUUUAUUAGGGCUGUCAAACGAUUACAUUUUCUUAAUCGCGAUUAGUCGUUGAAUUUCUAUAGUUAAUCGCGUGUUUUAUCACAUGAUUAAAAUUCUAUUAUUUUGCAUUUCAGAACUGUUUUUAAGUCCAUAUUAACAAUGGAAAGCCAUUCUUACCAGUGGAUCUUGAUUGGGAAUCAAAUGAAUGCAAAGAAAGUGACUUUAUGAACUUGAUUUUAAGAUUUGUAUUUGUUUAUUAUGUAUUUAAUCUAGUCACACAUUUGAAUUUAAAGGGGAUGAUAGAAUGCAAAACCGAUUUUACCUUGUCGUAGUUGAAUAACGACAGUUCGGUGGGUAAACAGGACAUACAUAAAAGCUCAAAAAUCCCUAUGAUACCCCUUUACUAUGCAAAUCUCACAUUUUGAAACUGCCGCUGAAAACGGGCGAAUCUGAACAAAGCUAAAAGUUGACGUAAGCAUCCCAACUCCUAGUCUUUGUCACGCCCCAACAUUUGCAUAGGCUACACCACUGACCUGAGGUCAGCUUAGUCUGAAUCUAGCUAGGUCACGCAGAUCUCCAGAGGUCCGCUAUAAUUACUAAAUUCACUUCGGAGACUUUUUUAUGCUAAUUGCAAAUUUUGUCCGACUGUGUGUCGCAGUUCAGCAGGAGCUCAGCAGGCUACGUGACAGCUGGCGGUGCUGCCUCGCCGCCCGCCGUGUCCUACUUCAUAGACUCGCUGUGAGCUAGUCGCAAAGUCACCGUUUCUGGGUUACUGGACUACAAAAUGCCGAGGCCCUGAUGGAGCUCCAGGGCCUGCAGCUAGCCGCGAUCUUUACCCAUAGGAUUGAAGGAACAGUAGCAGCUAACGAAAUCCCUAAUGUUCACAAAAAUGCAUUAAAUUGAAAUCGGACACUAUUGUUAGCUUUAUAAGACCUUGGGGUAGAUGUUAUAUAAGUGGCGUGACGAAAUUCAAACUGUAAAUAUAUCAAAGUUAUGCCGGCAGCUGGCAGCCAGCCAGCUCCACCGAGCCCCGGUCGUCCAGUAACCGAGAAACGGUGACUUUCACUGGGUACGGAGGUUGCCGCUUUCUCAUCAGACUGUGUGGAGCUCCUAGCUAAAGUCCGACACGUCUUACCAAAUUUGCAAUUAGCCAUCAGUUUUCGUAAAACGGCCCAUAUUUGAGCUUUAUAUAGUUGAUUUUGCCCUUAAAAAAGUCUCAGAAGUGAAUUUAAUAACGAAAUAGUAGACAAACAAUGUAUAACUUUGCAGUGUCUGAAAUAUGAGACCUGCUGUCUCGUCUCCAAUGUGUUUCUACAUACAUACAUACAUACAUACAUACAUACAUACAUACUGAGCUACCCAGACGCCCAGCUGAGAUAU